Molecule: ribosomal RNA, 216 nt
Filed under: Glomus sp.
Lineage: Eukaryota; Fungi; Glomeromycota; Glomeromycetes; Glomerales; Glomeraceae
Also listed under: 1 other name
Description: partial small subunit ribosomal RNA
Rfam family: Eukaryotic small subunit ribosomal RNA (bases 47-216)
Source: RNAcentral
GGAUCAAUGGAUUGGUCAUGCCGAUGGUAUGUACUGGUCAUAUUGGUUCUCACCUUCUAAGGAACCAUAAUGUCAUUCAUUUGAUGUUUUGGGGAAUUAGGACUGUUACCUUGAAAAAAUUAGAGUGUUUAAAGCAGGCUAACGCUUGAAUACAUUAGCAUGGAAUAAUGAAAUAGGACAUCGCAUUCUAUUUUGUUGGUUUCUAGGAUCGAUGUA